This is a long non-coding RNA of Esox lucius (northern pike), 1830 nucleotides long. The record is from Ensembl. NCBI's taxonomy places the organism in Eukaryota, Metazoa, Chordata, Actinopteri, Esociformes, Esocidae.
GGGGGAUAUGAUGGUCCUUCCUUCACCCAUAAAUGCCACAGCAAGAUAAAAAUGUUUUCGUCCGAUUACAUAUAAAAUGUUACUGAAUAUAGAUAGUGUUUUAAUAUAAAUAAAAUGGGAAUAGAAAGAGGUUUUGUUUUUGUAGAUCGUUCAAAUGUGGAUGCAGCACGUAAACAAUAGGUGGCGCUAAUACAUUUCACAUUACGAGGAUAUCAACCGGUUUUUCCCCCAAAGGAUCAUGGGAACUUCCGCUUCGCACAAAUAGCUGCGUUCAGUCCACGUCUACUCUUCAAUCCAUUUUGUAAGUCUUCGUGGAUGGACUGUUUGCACUACGCAAGCCAGUUUUUGUUAAAGUAAUUUUUGUAAUCGUAAAACUUUUGACUUUAAAUCCUCUGGAAGCCUUAUGUUUCACUCAUUCAGAUAAGUUACUUUACAUUUGUGAAUUUGCGAGCUGAUAAACGUUCGCUGUCUGACUUUUUAUACGAACUACUUUGGACAUUUACCUUUUUGUGCGUGAAAUGUGCUUGGAAAUGGAUACCAAAGUGGAAUGGGAAGUACUCAAACCGUGUUACUCCAGAAGAUCUGGCAAACUUUCAAAGUGCAGGCUGAGGAAAAUUCUCAAUUUAAGUUCCCGACAAGAAGGCCUGAAAAUGUGGCGCGCCAACAUUGUCAAAGCCACUCUCAAGAAAUACAUUCGCUGCGAGCAGAAAAGGAGGUUAGUUGCUAAACUGGUCAAGCAAGAACAAACUUUGUCCGAAAACUGCGAAAACAUUAUGCAUGAUGGGACGGAGACUGUCGACGGAAAUACACGGUCAAUAUGCUCAAUGGCACCUAAGAACACGACACAGUAUCUCAUGGAUAUCGUAUACGACGACAUGCUAAACGACACCAGUUCCAGCCAGAAGUUGAGCCCCGAUUCGCUCGAGAUCUGCGUGCCAAGUAAAUCUCUUUCACGCAUGACCACGUGUGACUCAUUGGACUGUGGGUAUGAAAAUUCUCUUGAAUUCCAACAGAGGGACUUCGAAGAAAUAUACCUCCAUCUUGGGUCUUGUUGAUCUGGAGUAAACCGGUUCUGGUUUGGCCGGGUUUUUCUGACCGAAGACCAAAGUAUUGACUUUAAAACCACAAACUAAGCGACGCAACGGACGCCGCCCAUCAGUAGGGGGCGCUCUCGGUCGCAGCGUCGCUUCCUGUGGUGGCCAGACUACCUAUGCCUCCACUAAGGUAUCACAGGUAAACCUGAUUCUCCUACAGGUAUAUGUGGCCGGUAGCACUUGAGUUCACCAGUAAGCUUCCGGUUUGCAAUUUCACUGCGUUUCUAUGACUUUGCUACAAGUAAAGUAUCUUGAACGUGGAGUAAUUGCUGCCGGCGUAGUUUACGCAGUGCCCAGAUAUGUUCAAAGCUGUCAGUGCUGCAUUUACUGUUGUGCAAGCCUUUUUCAGAUCAGGUUCUUCCUCCUACCUGCCUGCAAUCAGCGUGGCUGUUGCCAGAACGAUGGACUCGUGCGGAUGACCAUGGAAGUAAGGUGACAUACGAUUUUGUUACCAAAAGCGUCAGUUUUAGCAGUUCGUUGGUUACCGGAAGACGCGUGUUAGUCAUUGCAAAGUAGACAUACACGGUUUAAACAAACCAGGGUGCAUUUAAACAUGAACUGAGUGUCAUUGUCUGGACAUUUGAGGAAGCCUUUUGUAUUAAAUGCUCUUGUAAAUUAAACAAUCAUGUGAUCUAACUGGUUUAAGUUUUCUGUUCUUGAUGUUAUUGGUAGUAGUGACUGUAUGCCGACCACUUGAGUUUGUAGUAUUCGCUUUUCAAAAAUGUGGCGCAUUUGG